GAUCCUGGCUCAGGAUGAACGCUGGCGGCGUGCUUUAUACAUGCAAGUCGAACGUGAAGCUGACUUCGGUCAGUGGAAAGUGGCGGACGGGUGAGUAAUACAUAGGAAAUCUGCCCUUAGGAAGGGGAUAACAGUCGGAAACGAUUGCUAAUACCCUAUAUGAGCUUGGUUGCAAUACCAAUCUUGAAAACUCCGGUGCCUAAGGAUGAGCCUGUGCCUGAUUAGCUUGUUGGUGGUGUAAUGGACCACCAAGGCGACGAUCAGUAGCUGGUUUGAGAGGAUGAUCAGCCACAAUGGAACUGAGACACGGUCCAUACUCCUACGGGAGGCAGCAGUAGGGAAUUUUGGGCAAUGGGCGAAAGCCUGACCCAGCCAACGCCGCGUGUGUGAUGAAGCCCCUAGGGGUGUAAAACACUGUCAGUAGGGAAGAAUCAAUGACUGUACCUACAGAGGAAGCACCGGCUAACUCCGUGCCAGCCGCCGC
Molecule: ribosomal RNA, 484 nt
Filed under: uncultured bacterium
Lineage: Bacteria
Description: bacterial SSU rRNA
Rfam family: Bacterial small subunit ribosomal RNA
Source: RNAcentral